AAAGCACUUUCAGUAGGGAGGAAGGUAGUGUAGUUAACACCUGCAUUAUUUGACGUUACCUACAGAAGAAGCACCGGCUAACUCCGUGCCAGCAGCCGCGGUAAUACGGAGGGUGCGAGCGUUAAUCGGAAUUACUGGGCGUAAAGCGCAUGCAGGCGGCCUGUUAAGUCAGAUGUGAAAGCCCGGGGCUUAACCUCGGAAUUGCAUUUGAAACUGGCAGGCUAGAGUCUUGUAGAGGGGGUAGAAUUUCAGGUGUAGCGGUGAAAUGCGUAGAGAUCUGAAGGAAUACCAGUGGCGAAGGCGGCCCCCUGGACAAAGACUGACGCUCAGAUGCGAAAGCGUGGGGAGCAAACAGGAUUAGAUACCCUGGUAG
Molecule: ribosomal RNA, 373 nt
Filed under: uncultured bacterium
Lineage: Bacteria
Description: bacterial SSU rRNA
Rfam family: Bacterial small subunit ribosomal RNA
Source: RNAcentral